CCUACGGGUGGCAGCAGUGAGGAAUAUUGGUCAAUAGGCGGAAGCCUGAACCAGCCAAGUAGCGUGCAGGAUGACGGCCCUACGGGUUGUAAACUGCUUUUAUACGGGAAUAACGCGCCUUACGUGUAGGGCUUUGCAUGUACCGUAUGAAUAAGGACCGGCUAAUUCCGUGCCAGCAGCCGCGGUAAUACGGAAGAUCCGGGCGUUAUCCGGAUUUAUUGGGUUUAAAGGGAGCGUAGGCCGCAUGUCAAGCGUGUUGUGAAAUGUCCGGGCUCAACCCGAGCCUUGCAGCGCAUACUGGCGUGCUUGAGUCCGCGUAAGGCAGGCGGAAUUCGUCGUGUAGCGGUGAAAUGCUUAGAUAUGACGAAGAACCCCGAUUGCGAAGGCAGCUUGCUAAAGUGGAACUGACGCUGAUGCUCGAAAGUGUGGGUAUCGAACAGGAUUAGAUACCCGUGUAGUC
Molecule: ribosomal RNA, 460 nt
Filed under: uncultured bacterium
Lineage: Bacteria
Description: partial 16S ribosomal RNA
Rfam family: Bacterial small subunit ribosomal RNA
Source: RNAcentral